The sequence is a ribosomal RNA, 153 nucleotides long. It matches the Rfam family "5.8S ribosomal RNA". Rfam says of the family: 5.8S ribosomal RNA (5.8S rRNA) is a component of the large subunit of the eukaryotic ribosome. It is transcribed by RNA polymerase I as part of the 45S precursor that also contains 18S and 28S rRNA. The record is from Ensembl.
AACUCUUAGCGGUGGAUCACUCGGCUCGUGCGUCGAUGAAGAACGCAGCUAGCUGCGAGAACUAAUGUGAAUUGCAGGACACAUUGAUCAUCGACCUUUCGAACGCACCUUGCGGCCCGGGUUCCUCCCGGGGCUACGCCUGUCUGAGAGUCG